This is a non-coding RNA of Phrynosoma platyrhinos (Desert horned lizard), 71 nucleotides long. The record is from the annotation of a GenBank genome assembly. NCBI's taxonomy places the organism in Eukaryota, Metazoa, Chordata, Lepidosauria, Squamata, Phrynosomatidae.
GCCAGUGUGGCAUAGUGGUUAGGUAUUGGACUGUGACUCUGGAGAUCAGGGUUUGAUUCCCAGCUCAGCCA